Molecule: long non-coding RNA, 269 nt
Organism: Zingiber officinale
Lineage: Eukaryota; Viridiplantae; Streptophyta; Magnoliopsida; Zingiberales; Zingiberaceae
Exons: 2
Source: RefSeq, a predicted model, not a curated record
GAGUAGAAUGCAACAUCGUGAACUUGAUCCUGCAUGUUCUGGAAUGCCUGAGAGGGAUGAGGGUUGUGAGCAUAGCUUCAGUGGAUGCUCGUGCAUACUCCCCCAGAUGAGCAAAUCUGAAGUUACAGAUUAAGAGUUACGAUUGGAACGAGGCGCUCUUCCAGGAAGCUAUGAGCAGGGCGAUUGAUGGCGUGGACGCAACUACUGAAACCCUUUUGGUGGCGUAGUUUAUAGGUUGCCUAAUUGGAUGUAUAAAUAUUGUGUGAGGU